Long non-coding RNA from Eptesicus fuscus (big brown bat), 443 nucleotides. RefSeq lists it as uncharacterized. Lineage: Eukaryota; Metazoa; Chordata; Mammalia; Chiroptera; Vespertilionidae. The record is from RefSeq and is a predicted model, not a curated record. The transcript has 2 exons.
ACAGGCAAGAGGGCACGGCAGGAGCGGAGACCCACUGUUAGGGUGCCAGUGGUUCCUCUCGAACAGCAAUGAUGGUAACAGCUAACGUCUACACAGUGAGCAGUGCUAAAACAACUCUGAGACCAUGUGGAUUCCUGCAACAGAGAGGAAUUCACAGGAGUGCUCCAGCCAUGAAGACAGAAGAGAAACAGUCCAGAGAUGGAAGACGCUGACGCCGCCUUGCCAUACUAGCAGUCAGCAGAUGUGCGUCACUGCAGAUUGCCCAGGACCAAACCAGAGAGGGUCGGACCUGCAUUACCACCAUUUGUCCACCAUCCAGAACUGAAAUAUCAUUGCUGACAUGUACACAUAAGGAACUGUUUGACAUAGAAAUUGGGACUCAAAAGAACUGUUGGCCCAGAAAGAAACUCACUACAGACUGAUUCAUUUGUCUCUCAGCAUAA